GCUUUAAAAUUUUAAAAAAUAGGAACCUUAGUUGUCAAAGAAAUCCAAAUCCGCUAGAUGUAUCAAAGUGUUGAGAAAGCUUCUCCUAAGAGUUAAGAGAGAAGAAAAGAAUGAUUAGAAAAAGGGCUUAAAGGAUUCAUGAAUGCAAAGGGUAGAGUUAAGUUCUUAUACUGGGAUUGGAGAUGGGAUUACCAUUAGAGCUUCAUUUGAUAUACUCUGGGUAGAUGGGAUCUUAUCUCUGUAUGCAUAGCUUGGGACUUACCUUUAGCAUUCUACUAAAGCUCAAUCAUUUUUUGAGAGAUCCCCUGUUGCUGAAGCCUAUUCUAUAAGGGACCAUCUUUGUCUCUUGGCCUUUACCUUAGCCAAAUGAGUUCAUUGAUGAUACAUUGCUUGAUUCACGUUCGAGAACUAAUGAAUGUUAAAGGGAUUGGUAGAUUUGAAAACAUU
This 447-nucleotide small RNA is filed under the name Arabidopsis thaliana (thale cress). RNAcentral describes it as "ATSL158550". Lineage: Eukaryota; Viridiplantae; Streptophyta; Magnoliopsida; Brassicales; Brassicaceae. The record is from RNAcentral.